Molecule: long non-coding RNA, 697 nt
Organism: Triplophysa dalaica
Lineage: Eukaryota; Metazoa; Chordata; Actinopteri; Cypriniformes; Nemacheilidae
Exons: 3
Source: RefSeq, a predicted model, not a curated record
UGAUUUUUUUGAUUUUCAAAAGAAAGGCAGACUGCCACGUGCAGCGCCUCAUUUGGAUGUGUCUGAAGUCUUGGAGCUCGACUUCCCUACGUUUCUCCUACAAAUGGGCCUUGAGCUUGUUUGGAGGUUCUAGCAGGGGAGAGCAGCUACUUCUAUACCAACGAUGCUCGUCCGCCGGGGGCACUCGUCCUCUUCCACCGAGCGCAGAGCUUCGGGAGGGACACACAUGGAGCGGUGAGGGAGGAAGGGGACACCCGCCUAGCCAGCCAGAUCAGCCGAAUCAACACUAGCGAUCAAUGGGGUGACAGAUGUCGCAGCCAGAUCGCCCUCACAUCCGAGAAUAGAAGCUGGGUCACAGAGAAUAUAUACGGCUGUGAGGAGCAUGCUUUCGCUUCGACGAUAUCAAUCCAGAGAGUGGAACAAGAAGAAGCGUCAUCUAAAAUGCCAGGAUACAGAAGAAACAGGUUGCAGUGAACCCACAUGUCGCCGCUCUUCUAAAUACAAUGAUGAAUAUUCAGUGUAAUCGAUGAAAAUUCCAGCUACUUGUUGUGCUCUGAUGGAUCAAGAUGGUGACCGUUUUACAGACUCACUUGGGCCUUGUUUUGCAAUGUUGUUUCAUGAUGGUAAUGUUGCUUAACGUGUUGUUUAAACAUGAAUGUUUAAAGAGCCAUGUUGGAUACUAUGAAGUUGUUACUGA